GCUGGGCAUGGUGGUGUGUGCCUGUGAUCCCAGCUACUUGGGAGGCUGAGGCAAGAGAAUUGCUUGAACCCGGGAGGCAGAGACUGCAGUGAGCCGAGAUUGCACCACUGCACUCCAUGCCUGGGUGACAAAGUGAGAUCUUGUCUCCA
This 149-nucleotide small RNA is filed under the name Macaca fascicularis (crab-eating macaque). Its description in RNAcentral is "Metazoan signal recognition particle RNA (ENSMFAG00000062971.1)". Lineage: Eukaryota; Metazoa; Chordata; Mammalia; Primates; Cercopithecidae. The record is from Rfam by way of RNAcentral.